This 353-nucleotide long non-coding RNA is filed under the name Elaeis guineensis (African oil palm). RNAcentral describes it as "long non-coding RNA (EGUI_LNC077396)". The record is from RNAcentral. Lineage: Eukaryota; Viridiplantae; Streptophyta; Magnoliopsida; Arecales; Arecaceae.
CGAUAUCCCAUGAUCAAAUAUCCAUAAUUCUAUACAUAAUCAAUUUCAAUAAUUAGAAAGAAUACGAAUACCAUAUUUCAACGAUUUAGAUUGGGUCCGAUCAUCUAAUUUCAUCUAAUCAAAAUCUAAUUAGGACCUAAACGAUCCAAAAUUUGACUAUCAGAUCAAAUCGGAUUCGAAGUGAUAGGAUCGAGGUUUCUUUAUCGAUUUCAUAAAAUCAAGUAGAGAGAGAAAAUCAGAGGAAAGAAAAUUCAUGAGGUACAAUUCGAAUUGAUCAGGUAACACAAUCCAAUAUUACGAUUGAUCCAAUAUCUCAAUUGGUGAAAUCAACAUGAUCAAAUCAAGUCAUAGCU